This 253-nucleotide unclassified non-coding RNA is filed under the name uncultured fungus. RNAcentral's name for it is "partial contains small subunit ribosomal RNA, internal transcribed spacer 1, and 5.8S ribosomal RNA". The stretch from base 1 to 73 matches the Rfam family "Eukaryotic small subunit ribosomal RNA", at positions 1759 to 1831 of the family's 1831-position model. The record is from RNAcentral. Lineage: Eukaryota; Fungi.
GCAAACUUGGUCAUUUAGAGGAAGUAAAAGUCGUAACAAGGUCUCCGUUGGUGAACCAGCGGAGGGAUCAUUAUCGAGUCUUAAAAACUCCCAACCCAUGUGAACAUACCUACGUUGCCUCGGUGGCCCCCUAAAAAGGGCUGCCGAAGGACCACUAAACUCUGUUUUAUUUUGGAACUCUGAAUUAUAAAGCAAAUAAGUUAAAACUUUCAACAACGGAUCUCUUGGUUCUGGCAUCGAUGAAGAACGCAGC